RNAcentral lists this ribosomal RNA (429 nucleotides) under Chloroflexota bacterium. Its description in RNAcentral is "Chloroflexi bacterium partial 16S ribosomal RNA". It matches the Rfam family "Bacterial small subunit ribosomal RNA", at positions 355 to 776 of the family's 1533-position model. The record is from RNAcentral. Lineage: Bacteria; Bacillati; Chloroflexota.
UGGGGAAUAUUGCACAAUGGGCGCAAGCCUGAUGCAGCCAUGCCGCGUGUAUGAAGAAGGCCUUCGGGGUGUAAAGUACUGUCAGCGGGGAGGAAGGGAGUAAAGUUAAUACCUCUGCUCAUUGACGUUACCCGCAGAAGAAGCACCGGCUAACUCCGUGCCAGCAGCCGCGGUAAUACGGAGGGUGCAAGCGUUAAUCGGAAUUACUGGGCGUAAAGCGCACGCAGGCGGUUUGUUAAGUCAGAUGUGAAAUCCCCGGGCGCAACCUGGGAACUGCAUCUGAUACUGGCAAGCUUGAGUCUCGUAGAGGGGGGUAGAAUUCCAGGUGUAGCGGUGAAAUGCGUAGAGAUCUGGAGGAAUACCGGUGGCGAAGGCGGCCCCCUGGACGAAGACUGACGCUCAGGUGCGAAAGCGUGGGGAGCAAACAGG